Cyprinus carpio carpio is the source of this 2316-nucleotide long non-coding RNA. Lineage: Eukaryota; Metazoa; Chordata; Actinopteri; Cypriniformes; Cyprinidae. The record is from Ensembl.
GAUCAUCUGAAAUGGUUUUUUUUUUUACAGAUGAUGAAAAAUAACAUUUUAGUUAAUGCAAUGACAUUCAGACUUUUAAAAGGAAUAGUUCACCUAAAAAUGAAAUUUGCUGAAAAUGUCCUCACCCUCAGAUGUAAAUUGUUUCUUCAUCAGAUUUGGAGAAAUGUAGCAUUGCAUCACUUGCUCACCAGUGGAUCCUCUGCAGUGAAUGGGUGCCAUCAGAAUGAGAGUCCAAACAGCUGAUAAAAACAUCACAAUAAUCCACAAGUAAUCCACACCACUCCAGUCCAUCAGUUAAUGUCUUGAGGAGCCAAAAGCUGUGUGGUUGUAAGAAACAAAUCCAUAAUUAUGAUGUUUUUAACUUCAAACCAUUGUUUUCAGCUAUACAAGUCUUUUAUUGUUUUCUUCAGUCAAAAAAACGUCUGGUCUAAAUAAGGAGAGAAAUAUGUACAAAUCAAACAUCAUUUACAAGCCAAAACAGUUUCCAAAAAAUUUGUGGGUGGAUUUUGAUGUGAGAGGAAAACAAGGGAUGGACUUUUCCACUGGAGGAAGCAUUAUUAUUGAUUAUGGACUCACAUUUUAGACAGAAGUGAUAGAUUAAAGUUAAAUAGUCUUAAUGAUGGAUUUGUUUCUUACAAACAUGCAGCUUUUUUGCUUCUCAAGAUGUUAACUGAUGGACUGGAGUGAUGUGGGUUCCUUGUGGAUUAUUGUGAUGUUUUUAUCAGCUGUUUGGACUCUCAUUUUGACGGCACCCAUUCACUGCAAAGGAUUCCUUUAAAAAUGGUAUUUUGUGGGAAACUACAGUUACCAUGGUAGAUGUUUUGAAGGGUGUGUACGUUUUGUAAGCGUGAUUAUGAUAUAGGAUCCAUAUGUUUGCUCAUAACUGCGUGUGCUUGUUCACACCAGGACAUAAUAUUUGCAGUGAAUAUUUUGAAUUGAAUUCCUGUGCAACAAUACAUUCCUGUUAACAUACAUAAUUAGUCUAAUGACAUAAAGCUAUUUGUCCACCUUAUGUUGUGGUUUUAUGUGAUUUUUCAAAAAUUCUCCUUUGUGUUUUACAGACGCAAAUGACAUGAGGGCGAGUACAUGAAAACAGUUUUUGAGCAUGUUCUAAAUGGAUUGAGUUUAGUAUAUUAGAGCAAACAAAACCUGCACUGGAUCGUUCACAAGAUGGAAAGUGGAUUGCCUGAGUGUAACACUGAAACUUGCUUUUUUGUGAAGCUGCUUUGAAACCUUACAUAAAGUAUGCUAUUGAAUUGAGUUGAAUAGAAAUGAGUUGAAUUGCCAAAUGAGCUGCCAAUACAUGUUUUCUUUAGUUUGAAUUCUCUUGAGUUCUGGAUCAUUCCAGCUUAAUUUAACCCAUGGAUAGAAUGAAAAUACAAGGUGAAAUGUCAAAGCAGCAAGAGUUUGGUCCUGAUGAGUUCAUUUCAAACUAGCAGAGAAAUUUUCUUGAAUUGAGAAGUUCUUUGAGAAAUGGAUUGAGAAUUCUAGUUGUUUUUUCAGCUGUAGAGUCUAGCAUGAACACUGAGCCAUACAAAUUAACACAACCCAACAAAACUGAGUCAUUGCAUCGUGGUCAUUUGUUUUUUUAAUACCUUUUCCCAAAAAACCCACCCACUCACCCCCACAUACACACAUCCAUGCCAGAGCCUGUAGACACUCAUUAAGAGACCACGGGUAACACACACACACCCUUCUCAUGGCACACCACACUGCAGGCCUCAGCAUCUGCCUGCUGACACACACACACAUACACACACACACACACACACACACACACACACACACACACACACACACACAUGGCCCCUCCACCCAAACACUCAAACAAACACAGCACCCACCCUCAACGCUUCCCUAAAAAGAGUAUCUGCCCACAAAGUCAAGUUCAAACACACUCGAAACCCUCUUUGUUGAAUAGACACACACACACACAGAGGCAGGCUGUGGUUUAGGGUCUGGGGGUUUUAUUUUAAGUCUGUUGAACCCUUCAGGUGUUUAGUGAUGUGAAGACACCCUUUAUGCCCAACAACAUAAAACCUCAUUUGCAUUUAUUUAUUUAUCCAUCCAUAAUGAGGUAAACUGUUUACUGUUUGACAUUAAUGGGGAUCAACCUUGAGUAUGAGUACAAAAUCUAAUAUGUAAUUGUAAAACUGAAUGUCCUUGCAUUAGAUACAAAAAAAGUAAAACAAAUGUUCAUGAUUGAUGUUAUAAACUACAUAAUAUUUCAUAUUUAACCCCCACAUUAAAAUGAUGAAUUGUGCAUAUAUUUUACAUAUUUUGAACAGCUAUUUAUUUACUUAUCCAAUCUUUCAC